This 651-nucleotide unclassified non-coding RNA is filed under the name Hevea brasiliensis (rubber tree). The record is from RNAcentral. Lineage: Eukaryota; Viridiplantae; Streptophyta; Magnoliopsida; Malpighiales; Euphorbiaceae.
AUCAGAGUUCAUUUUGUUUUCAAUAUUUUGGUUUCAAUGCUCAGCUUACAUGAUAUAUAUGUACAAAACCAAAACUUGUACAAAGCUGAAGCUCCAUUGAUGAAUCUAGGAGGCUAUUGUAGAAAGAAAAUUAACUGCAAUCAACUCAUUUAACAAAGUUCAUACCACCUUCUACAAUCAUUUCAGCAGUGGCACCCAUAGCGCCAAUACCACUACUACUCAAAAGAGCCAACGCUAACUCCUCCUCGCCCCACUGUUUCAAACCCAUACUGAUACUCUUCAAAACCUCUACAUCCACCUCUAGUAACCAGUUCGGUGUGCAUCUAACUAUCAAGCUGAUGAGCCCUGAGACGUAAGAUUUCCAAGUUGAUUUGUUGCAACCGAGGGAUAUUUUCCCAUGUAGAACACCUGCAACGAACUCCAAGUGUGCCUCGAGAGUACUUGACCGACGCUUGGCUGCAGGUGAUGAUGAAUCAACCCCCCAUGCAAACGUUCCGGAUAUCACUGCAAAGCAAGCAAGGGCUUUACCCCUUAGGGUUGCAACUAACCCUCCUGACAUCCCACCACUGGGCUCCAUGCCAUGUGCUGAUAUGAACCAAGAUGGCAAAGUUUCUUUCAUCAACGAUUGGACCAAAACUACACCACCUGUGA